This 525-nucleotide ribosomal RNA is filed under the name Triticum aestivum (bread wheat). RNAcentral describes it as "partial small subunit ribosomal RNA". The record is from RNAcentral. Lineage: Eukaryota; Viridiplantae; Streptophyta; Magnoliopsida; Poales; Poaceae.
AUGUUAUCUUCUUGCAAUAUCAUGCUUUAUCGUUGCACAUCCCCUAGAACUUUUCGCAGUUGUCAGGCCAGCGGUGAAGGAGUUGAGGUGGCUGUUCGGGAAGAUGUGGAGCGACCAUCACAAGAUGGCAGGAUAGGGGCAUCACCAGGGCGGUUUGCGAAGUUCAACAGCUCGCUAUCCCCGCUGCAGCUAGUUUCAAGGUUGUUUGGGGGCCUCUUGAACUUAUUAGAUACACUUCCAAGGGACUUCAAUAAAUUCCUGGUGCAGUCCUACCAGCCAGAGACCUCUGAAAUGGUGUUCCCAGGCAGGGGAAGGAUCGGUGUCGAUGCAGACAGUGUUCAAAGGGUAUUUGAUCUUCCUAACAGGGGUCAAAAAGUCAGAUAUGUAGUUGACAAGGAUGCAACUAGGAGAUUCAGAGAGGCUUUCAACAUACGUGGAGAUUCUCAUCCCCAGAUCACUACAUGGUGCAAGAUGAUUAAGGAUAUGGCGGGAAGAAUGGUGUUUGAUGUUGCUUGUAUCACUUGA